Molecule: ribosomal RNA, 253 nt
Filed under: uncultured bacterium
Lineage: Bacteria
Description: partial 16S ribosomal RNA
Rfam family: Bacterial small subunit ribosomal RNA
Source: RNAcentral
UACGUAGGGGGCUAGCGUUGUCCGGAUUUAUUGGGCGUAAAGAGCGUGUAGGCGGCCAGGUAGGUCCGUUGUGAAAACUCGAGGCUCAACCUCGAGACGUCGGCGGAAACCCUCUGGCUAGAGUCCGGAAGAGGAGAGUGGAAUUCCUGGUGUAGCGGUGAAAUGCGCAGAUAUCAGGAAGAACACCCGUGGCGAAGGCGGCUCUCUGGGACGGUACUGACGCUGAGACGCGAAAGCGUGGGGAGCAAACGGG